AGCUUUAUAGUCAAUAAUGAUUUAAGGUUGCAAAUCUUAAGGUGUAAACUUGGUUUACU
Molecule: transfer RNA, 59 nt
Filed under: Flavoperla hatakeyamae
Lineage: Eukaryota; Metazoa; Arthropoda; Insecta; Plecoptera; Perlidae
Description: tRNA-Cys
Source: RNAcentral